AGCAGCAUUGGGUUCCCGGGGAAGCUCCACUCCCAGGCAUAUCAACGCUGGUUGGUGGUUUUGAAAGGCUCCUUAAUGAUGUCAUGGGUUGUCCGUCCACUCACAUGAAGCCUGACCGGGAGGUGGGCUUUGCUGUGCUCCCCCUCCGUCUGCAGACACGGCUGUGGGGGGAUUCUCACCCACAGGCGAGAAGCACCCACAGGCAAGAAGUGCAGGGUGGCCUGUGGAUGCCUGAGAAGCACCCACAGGAGGCAUGACGGAACUGUACCACUUGAGAUGCUAUUUCUCCUAAGUGCUCUGGAGUGAGGGAAUUCCAUUUUGCACAGGUGGAAGAAUCUGGAAGUAGAUUCUUGAUAAACUGUGGCUCAGGAAGGCCAUGUUAUCAGCCAGGGUCACGAGUGUGGCGGCGUCCUUCAGCCAGAGCUGAGAGAGACUGGGUCAUGGGACUCAGUGACGGAAGAUUCUGGCAGGACCAUGUCCGCUCUGGACCAGAGAAGCCUCGCCAGCCACGACCACGUCUUCAGCUUACCUAUUUGGUAUUUGUAGGAAGGACUCCCAUGCACGGACUCCCACUGUAUCCCUCAUAAACAGACAACAUGUGAGUGCCUUUGCAGAAGAGAGUGUGUCUGAGAGCAGCCGGGUCAGCCAGGAGCUGUCGCCAGGAGACGCCUCCUCUCUGUCCCUUGCUGUCUGCUGAUCACCGCUGGAGGUGCUGCGUUCUGAGCUGGUUUGUCCCCCAGUAGUUUUUGUGUUUCACUUGGCAAGGAAAGGGGAGGAAGGAACCUUCUUCUGAGUCAUUUCACGGCUGGUGGUUUUUUCACAGAAAGACGUGUCUUUGUUGCUCUUGUUUAAACGUCGGCGUGCAGGUCCACACGGCACCUGCCCAUGGUUCCCUUGCCUCAUUCCUGAGCAUCUCAGGUAGAAGGUGACACAGCUGCAGGUGAGGAAGGCCUGUGGGAGAACUCGGAAGACCCCUGCCCCGUGGCGUGUGGCAGUCUGUUGUCAUCGGUGCACAGCGGACGAUUUUCACAUCUAGCUCCUGGUUCCGUAACCUUGUGUACUUGAAGUCCAACAAGAUGAAGGAAGUCAGUUUCCUUGCAGUGAUUUUAAGUUGUGAUGGAGUUUUAAGUUGAUAUGAGGGAACGUGUCCUAAUUCUUCUGUCCUGGGAAGCAUGUAAUUUUAAUGUUCCAUUCCAUGUGUGUAUAUGUGUAUAUAUAUAUAUAAAUAUGCAGUAUGUAUAUACAUAUAUAUGAAUACAGGUAUUUUUACUUAAUCUAUAAAAUGUAGUAAAAAGAUGUUGGUUUCUCACUUCUCUUUUUUUUCUUUUCCC
Long non-coding RNA from Mustela lutreola (European mink), 1331 nucleotides. RefSeq lists it as uncharacterized. The record is from RefSeq and is a predicted model, not a curated record. Lineage: Eukaryota; Metazoa; Chordata; Mammalia; Carnivora; Mustelidae. The transcript is spliced from 3 exons.